GACGAACGCUGGCGGCGUGCUUAACACAUGCAAGUCGAGCGAAUCACUGGGAGCUUGCUCCCGGUGGUUAGCGGCGGACGGGUGAGUAACAUGUGGGCAACCUGCCUGUAAGACUGGGAUAACACCGGGAAACCGGUGCUAAUACCGGAUAAUCCUUUUCUUCUCAUGAGGAAAAGCUGAAAGUCGGUUUCUGCUGACACUUACAGAUAGGCCCGCGGCGCAUUAGCUAGUUGGUGAGGUAACGGCUCACCAAGGCGACGAUGCGUAGCCGACCUGAGAGGGUGAUCGGCCACACUGGGACUGAGACACGGCCCAGACUCCUACGGGAGGCAGCAGUAGGGAAUCUUCCACAAUGGACGAAAGUCUGAUGGAGCAACGCCGCGUGAGCGAUGAAGGCCUUCGGGUCGUAAAGCUCUGUUGUUAGGGAAGAACAAGUACCGGAGUAACUGCCGGUACCUUGACGGUACCUAACCAGAAAGCCACGGCUAACUACGUGCCAGCCGCCGCCGUAA
This 512-nucleotide ribosomal RNA is filed under the name uncultured bacterium. RNAcentral describes it as "partial 16S ribosomal RNA". It matches the Rfam family "Bacterial small subunit ribosomal RNA", at positions 28 to 523 of the family's 1533-position model. The record is from RNAcentral.